CAGGCCGUGAUGAUUGGCGCAGGGGUACGGACCUCAGCUGAGUCAUGGGAGCUGAGUGUGUGUGCUUUGCCUCCGUCUGCACGUGGCAGGCUGAUGACACGCACUUACACGAGACUUGCCUCGAUCUGAGCCUG
This is a small nucleolar RNA of Sciurus vulgaris (Eurasian red squirrel), 134 nucleotides long. Ensembl annotates it as small nucleolar RNA, C/D box 94. Its record names the gene SNORD94. Lineage: Eukaryota; Metazoa; Chordata; Mammalia; Rodentia; Sciuridae. The record is from Ensembl.